This 5023-nucleotide long non-coding RNA is filed under the name Nicotiana tabacum (common tobacco). RNAcentral's name for it is "long non-coding RNA (NTAB_LNC001085)". Lineage: Eukaryota; Viridiplantae; Streptophyta; Magnoliopsida; Solanales; Solanaceae. The record is from RNAcentral.
GAACACUUGUGGGGCAAUUCAGAAGGAUGAAUUUCUUUCUUUAGUUAAAUUCUGUCUAUUUUUGUAACUAUGGGGAUAGGGAGGAAGAGAAGAUGAAUGUAAAAAGUUAGGACAAAGUUGUCCAACUUUAUAGGUUUUGUUUUGCAUGUACAUAUAUUUUCCCAUGGUAAAUAAAAUUAUAUAUAUAUAUUCCUACUAUUAAUAAGGUACAGUUUGAGAAGCUUGGGGUUAUCGGGAGUAUUUUGGAAAAAUUACAACUGAUUUAACCAAACACACGUAGUAUUCUUGUUUUUCCCGGUUUUGACACGUACAAACGCUUAGUGCAUACGCUAGUUCUUCCUCCAGAUUUUCACAGUUGCUCAAUUCCUCUUCCAGUUUUGCUCUUGGAAAAUGGGGAAUUUCCCUUUUUUCCCCCGAUUUCCCCUAGAAUUUUUGUAAAUUAACAUAGGCAUCCGAUCUCAGACCUUAUUGUCCAACGAUUUCACUUUUCUCUCUGGAUCUAAACUCUAUGCUGUGACAAGAUAGUUCCAUCACAAAUCUCUUGUUCAACUUGAAAGGUAAUUUAUAUUUCUUGUUUGCUGCAGAGAAAUGAUUUUUUUAAAAUGAAUUUAUUUGGCUCUAGGUAUUUUCCAGAUUGAUGUUGUGCAAAAAUUGUUUAUAUUGGGUAAAUUGCUUACUGCGACAGCUUGUGAACACUGGUGCUUAACCAAAAGUCCUAAAUUGACAGAAGUGCUAACAAUACUCUUAUUAAUGAAGACACGAGGAAAUGAGUUGAGUUGGAAAUGUGAUUUUUUCAAUUGAAGCACGACUAUAGAAGUGUAAGUCAUAUAGGUAUUCCUCUGUCCUAAUAGACUUGGUUGUUUUCUUUUUUUCCUGCGUAGAAAAACCUUAUUUGAACUGUAGGAAUGCAAUGAGUCUUCUUUAGUUUUGACACGUUCCCUUACCAGGGCUCCAACAAACGCUCAGCAUCUCGCUUCCUCCAGAUUUGCACAACCUCUAUCUGUUCUUCCUCCAAAUUUUCACACCUGCUCAACUGCUCUUCCAAUGUCCUUUGUCUCUUUCAGUCUUCUCUCUUCCUACACAGUUUAUUAGUGCUGGUUGUAGGUGAGUUUUGCUUUCUUAUUUUCCUGAUUUUAGGAAUAGUAAUUGCGUAAAAAUUAUUUAAAUUGGGUAAAACUGCGAAAGCUCUUAUGAUUUUUGGAAUAGCUGUUGCCUAGAACAACUCAAAUUGUUUUUAUAUUACUCGAUCCUAUUUGUGCGAGGAAAGCUCCUUUUUUUUUUUUUAUUUACUUUUCUAUUUGAAGUUUGGUCAUCAAUCGGAAGGCCCUUUUCUGUUAAAAAAAGAAUUAAGUUUCAAUAAGAGGACUCAUCCUCUUAGUUUACUGAAAGUUUAUAUUUCUAACUCCUUUGUUUCACCUUCGUUAGUCUGAGAAUUGACUCCUUCACAGUCAAAUAUGCUUGGGAUUUGUAGAAAAGUUUGUACCUUUUUAUGCUAAAUCUUGAGAUGCCAACUUGGAUUUGUUGUUUAAAUUAAUAAAAGUCUUUUAUUUUGCUAUGUGAAUUCUAUACAGAGGAAAGUUUCAGUUCUUUGUUGGGAUUGAGUUGAAUGGUUCAUGAGCUUUUUUAGAUCAUUAUAGUUGAAAUUGGGUUAGUUUAUAAAUUGGAAUGCUAUCGUUGUCUAAUUUUAAGAUUCAAAGGCCUAAAAUGUUGCUUCUAUUGUUUUGAGAUGUUCUUUUCUCAUGGAUUUUGCUUUUUAGAGGACUCUAUAAAGUUCCAAUCUUGGGGGAAAGGGGGGAGGGGGGAUGUAGAAGCUCUGCCUAAAUUUUCGAUGUAAGAAAGAGCAAAAAAAUAAUAGCAUUUUGGCAUUUGAGUUCACAGAUUGGUGCAAUUUGGUAACUUGUAUUUGGUAUGUUGGAAGGAUAGACUGAGUUCUCUAUUCUGAUUUGAUAUGUUAGUUAUAACUUCAGCGAGAUCAAUUAAAAAUCAUAUUUAGGGUUAUUCUUGCAAGUCCUUGUUGUCUGUACUCAUAGAGAUUUAACUAUAAAUUUAUCAAUCCCAUAUCUGCAAUAUCAUAACUGCCCAAGAGAAAUUAAAUAAAUGAAGUAUAACCUGAUCUAUUUAUGAGUAAACAUGCUAAGUCAUCCUUCAUGGUGUUUAUACAUCCAGAAUUUCUGCCGGAGUGAGAGUAGCGACUGCAUUACUUAGAAUUUUAGCUGCUAUUGGAUUUUGUUAUUUUUUUUCAAGAUACGGCAGAAGAAGAAAAGGGAAGAGCAGCAAGCUCGCGUCCUAAAGCUCUUUGAUGAAGAUGAUGAUCUAAUGUUGAGCUUGGUAUUCGGGAUUGAGAUUAUAUAUUCUCCUUCUAUAACACAGUGCAUUUUAGCAGAGGUGCGAACACUGCCAUUUUCCAAAAUAUUGUGUUUAUUUCUUUUUAGUUUGUCUCAGCAAACAAAAUUUAGUCUUUGCAUGUGUACAAUUUAAGAUGAUUUAAAGAUUUUAUUUUUGUUUUAGCUUGUAAUGUAUUUUCUUAAUGGUACAUGUGAUUUCUUAAUAUACCCUGUAUUCAUGCAACACUAAAAACAACUAUAAUCUGAAUAUGCUAUCUCCAAAUUUGAUAUCUAGCACCUAUUACAUGCUGCGAUCGUAUAUAACUCGAGCAGAGAAGGAGAGAACUGAGAAAGAUGUGAAAGCUAUACAGCAAAAGGAGAACGGACAUGGCUGACAGCCUCAAACAAUCACAUCGGAAGACAACAUUGAGUAAGAUGAAGAGGCUGGAACUCCUGAGAUGCAAGUUGAUAAGAUGCAUCAAGACAAAGAAGAAAUACAUGUCGUUAACUAAUCAUCAAGAUAUAAGACUUUGUUUUUACAAGGUACAUAUAUAAUCCAUUUUGUUUCAUAGUUUUAGUUGGAUUUCAUUUACCAAUGCAUAUGCACAAUUUAUAUGACUCUAAAACUUAAAAAAUGUGUCAUGUAAUUGUUGUUGUGUUACAAUAGUAAUAUAUAUGAUCUGAAAGUUCUUCUAUGAUCCCCUGGUUAUGCUUUUGUUGAGGCGAGUUUUAGUUGAACUAGCUUAUAUGAACUUCAUGCAUAUACCCCUUCCAAAAUUUUAAGGCCUUCGACAUCUUUUUUCUGCAAAUAUCAAUAGUUUGGAGAGGCUUAUAAGGCUGCUGAUGUUUUUCACGGGCGUGAUGGCUAUGAUUUUGAUGGGCAUUGCUUGACGGUUAGUAAACUCUAUUGUUGUAUGAUUUUUUCCAUUGUAAAGCCUCAAAGCAAUAGAGACAUUGUUUAUUUGCAACUUUUUAUCCUUUUUAUACAAUUCUUUUUGCAGAUUUUAGUUUAGUGUUGCUACAAAUGGAUUCAAUGACGUGUAAGAAUAUAAUGCAUGUGUCUUACAUGAAAUACACCGGAAACCAUUCUUUGUGUUCAUAUUUGAUCAUUGUUCAUUCCUGUGUCGGAAUGUGUAUCUGGUUUAGGUUUUUUUCUGACUUUCUAGGGGUACGGGUAAUAUUUUGGGAACUUUUUUCGGUCGACUUUGCAUACAGAAACCUACACAAUGUUUGUAAUGAUUGGAAUCACCUAGACAAUCUAUAUAGCCAUGUCAUCAAAGAUGAAUAGGACUAUAGGAUUCAACUCUACUUCAUGCUUCUAAAUUCAGUUGAAAGUUGUGAUUACGUUCAAGGAUAAAGUCUUGUUUGAACUUUUUGAUAUGUCUAUGGGAGAACUUUCAUUAUUAAUAAAUAGUGUUUCUAGAAUAUUUCAUUGAGCUUGUUAAUAGACUAUUAAGCUAUUUAUGCUUGAAUCACGUUAGCAAAUAUCGAUUCAAUUAGCUAAUGACUGAUACUGUAGUUGUUCUUUUUGAUUCGUUUUGCACUAGACAUUAUCAUUGCUGAAUGUAUACUAACAAGGUCAGUAUGCUAAAUUAGUUGUCCUCACUAAUGCCAAAAGAGUGGGUUAUUCAUUGAAAUCGAAAUUCAUUGCCUUUCUGGUUUCUUAUUUCGUUAAGUGGGCUGCAUUGAUUUCUGAUGGCUUUUUCAUAAUUUUUUAUGCUCUGGUGGUACAAGUAAUCACAGUUCAGCAACACUUUCAUGUUCAAUAGUGCACCGUCUGCAUUUUAUUUUAAUAAUUAAUAAGCUAAAGCUAAAAUGUUUGAUGGUGAGAGUGGAGAUACAUUUUCAAUAUUUUCAUUUCUUAAUAUAAUGAUAUGAUUAUAAAGUAAGUAGCAAGAAGUAGUAUAAAUAUUGUAUAUAGCUAUUUUAAUAUUUAUGGCACUAACUUUUAUUCAUCUAACUAUUUACUUUGAUCUAGAUUUAGUGAGUAAUGGCUUAUUGUUGUAGAAUUUUAAAACCAAAGAGUUCAAACAUUUUGAUUCAAUGUAAUUGUAACAACAACUCCUAAAAAAUUGUUGGUUUCUUUACAACUAUGUUUACAAGACUCAAAUGUUUAAUUUCAGCAGCAUGUACACAGGUGUGUUUGUCUGCUAUGGUCGUCAUCCUGAUGUGGUUAGUCACUGAAUCAUCUAAUGUGGGCAGGGUAUGCCGAAGUUUUUAUCUCGCUGUUGUGAAUGUUUAACGUAUCGAAUUUCUCUUCAUGACAGAGAAACACUUGCACCUGAUGGGCAACGAAGGAUGAUCACUUUUAAAGAAUAACAAGCGCAACAAGAUUAUUGGCUAUUUGAGUGAGAUGUAUAGUUACUGUGCUGCCUUUGUCGUCUAUUAUAUAACAAGAAAAAUUAUUCACAUUUCCAACUUCAUACUCUUUCCUUUGAGCAUGUUACCAUUGUUAAAAAAAUUAUUCUUUUGCCCAAUUACAUUUUCUUAAGAUAUAUAUCUUUCCUUUACCUUAGGUUUCUAAGAUCAACUACGUGGAGAGGGUGUGAUGGAAAUAGUGAAUCAUGCUAAAUAUUCUUUAUAUUUAUGCUAGAGACAAAUCUAAAAACCUUGGAACAAAAUUAAGAAAAAGUUAUUGCUACUGCGCUUGGGCCCGUGCUCGCUACCCUCACUAAUCCACUUCAAAAGGGACAGUUAAG